Non-coding RNA from Fistulina hepatica ATCC 64428, 91 nucleotides. The record is from the annotation of a GenBank genome assembly. NCBI's taxonomy places the organism in Eukaryota, Fungi, Basidiomycota, Agaricomycetes, Agaricales, Fistulinaceae.
GGCCUGGUGGUCUAGUAGUAUGAUUCGCCCUUAGGGUUGACCAUUGUUGUCAUAUUGGGCGAGGUCCCGGGUUCAAUUCCCGGCCAGGCCC